Molecule: ribosomal RNA, 253 nt
Filed under: uncultured bacterium
Lineage: Bacteria
Description: partial 16S ribosomal RNA
Rfam family: Bacterial small subunit ribosomal RNA
Source: RNAcentral
UACGAAGGGGGCGAGCGUUGUUCGGAAUUAUUGGGCGUAAAGGGUGCGUAGGCGGUUUGGUAAGUCUUAUGUGAAAUCUACAGGCUCAACUUGUAGUCUGCAUGAGAAACUGCCGGGCUUGAGUAUGGGAGAGGUGAGUGGAAUUCCUGGUGUAGCGGUGAAAUGCGCAGAUAUCAGGAAGAACACCCGUGGCUAAGGCGGCUCUCUAGUACGGUACUGACGCUGAGACGCGAAAGCGUGGGGAGCGAACAGG